RNAcentral lists this long non-coding RNA (1795 nucleotides) under Homo sapiens (human). RNAcentral's name for it is "non-protein coding lnc-TRIB2-5:1". Lineage: Eukaryota; Metazoa; Chordata; Mammalia; Primates; Hominidae. The record is from RNAcentral.
GAAGAAUUGGUAUACUUCUUGAUGUUCAUUUAAAAUUCCAUCCAUUGAAGUCUGAGUUCCGUGAGAAACAGAAUCAGAACUCUUGCCAAUUGGACUGCAAGAUGUCUUCAUCUACGUAUGCUGUCAUAAAAAACACUAUGGACUAUGGGGCAAGAAAAAUGUAAUAUUUUUCUCUCACGGUUUUGGAGACUGGAAAGUUCAAGUGUCCAGCAGGGCUCAUUUUGUGUUGGGGGCUCUCUUUCUGGCAUGCAGAUGCUUCCUUCUCGCUGUGUCCUCGCAUGGUGGCAAGAGAGCAACCUCAGGUGUCUCUUUCUCUUUCAAAGGACACCAGUUCUCUCAGAUCAGGGCUUCACCGUUAUGAUCUCUCUUAAUCUUAAUCUGUCCUUCAAGGUCAUAUUUCCAACAUAGUCACACGGAGGCUUAGGGCUUUUAACAUACACGUAUGAAUUUUGGGGGACACCAUUCAGUCCAUAGCAAAAGGCCAGCUUCUGAUAUUCCCACAUCAGUCAGUGAUUGGAUAUAGACCAAUGGGAAUGUGUGAUAAUCCUUGGAUCAUCUGAGGCAAUCUCCAAAAAGGCUGAAAACCGAGGGCUGCCUACCGCUGGCACUCUGAGCAGCAUACACCACAUGCUCCAUCAGUGUUACUGCCCUCAGCUGGGGAGAACCCCCCUCACACAAGUUGUGAUACCUUCCUAGAGGCAGCCUGCAUUCAAUGACAGCUUGAGAGGGGCGUAAAGGGCCAGCCACUCUGACCUGAUUCAGGACAAUUCUGCAAGGCUCUCCAAGCUCCAGAAUUCCUAUACUGUUUCCUGAACCUUUGUUGUCACCGUUUCCCAAACUACUUUUCUUUUUGUCAAUCCUGACCCUUUCCCUCUCCUACUACAGAUGUUGGUCACUCGAAUACUCGCAGCACACUUCUAUGAAUGAAUCUUUGUCUCAGAGAUUGCUCCCCAAGGAACCCAGUCAGUGCCAUCGGAAAUCAAAACAUUUAUUUAUUUAUUUUAAAAAUAUGUAAAUAAAAUGAUUAUUUUCACCAUUUUAAUGUACAAGUUAGUGAUCAUUACACAUUUAAUACUUGCAUGAAAACAUCACAUUUACCGCAUAAAUAUGGACAACUAUUAUGCAUCUAUUAUAAUUAAAAAUAAAACAUUUAUAAAUGAGAACAUACUGGAAAUGUGUAGUCAUGAUGGUGGCACCAUCUUAUGUUUUUAAAUUAAGAAUUUUGGAGCAGGAAAUGUUUUCUGUCUGUACCUAGGUCUUUACAUAUCAGAAAAUUUCAUAAAAGACCAGAAUAAAAGUAGCCAUACAAAAUACAACCACAAAAUAUGUAUUAAAUAGCCUACCAAAAUGCCACAAUGUAUCAUUAUAAUCACUAUUAAAUAUUUAUUAUGCAACAGUAUCAUUUAUGCAAUAGGAUUUUUUAUAAACCAGCAAUUUGCACUUUGAAAUUCAAUUUCAGUGAAUCACAAGCUUAAAAAUUGAAAUUCAAAUUAAGCAUUUCCUUUAUUCAAAGUCAUAUAUCAUAUUGAAAAUAAUCUGUAUUUUUAUUGCAAAAGAACACUUUAAGAAAACCCUAGAGAAUUGUUUGACCUAAUAAUUGUAAUUGUGCAUGUAUUUCUUAAUAUUAUUGAUUAAAUUUAUAUUUAGCCAUUUCUCUCAGCUAUAUAUAGUUACAGCAAAGCUAUUUUGCAUCAACAUAUAUGUCUCCCUAACUAUGAUAAAGAAUAUGGUAAUGAUGUUGUAAAUUGAUUGGAAAAGAUGAUCUAUCAAUUCUUUUGCAGCUUCCGAAUUCCAA